This 211-nucleotide ribosomal RNA is filed under the name Brassica oleracea var. capitata (cabbage). RNAcentral describes it as "partial 26S rRNA". It matches the Rfam family "Eukaryotic large subunit ribosomal RNA", at positions 73 to 284 of the family's 3401-position model. Lineage: Eukaryota; Viridiplantae; Streptophyta; Magnoliopsida; Brassicales; Brassicaceae. The record is from RNAcentral.
AUCCCUUAGUAACGGCGAGCGAACCGGGAAGAGCCCAGCUUGAAAAGCGGACAUCUUCGGCAUUCGAAUUGUAGUCUGGAGAAGCGUCCUCAGCGACAGACCGGGCCCAAGUUCCCUGGAAAGGGGCGCCAGAGAGGGUGAGAGCCCCGUCGUGCCCGGACCCUGUCGCACCACAAGGCGCUGUCUACGAGUCGAGUUGUUUAAUAUAAUA